AAAGGGAGACCUAAUUCGGGUAUAAGACGAAAAAAUAGUAGUCGAAACCAAGAAUCAAUCCCAAAAGGUCGGAACGAGGUAUGUGGCUUUCAAACUAGGUUCUGGGUUCACAAAAGACCUGAAUCAGGAACAAGGGCUAUUAGCUCAGGUGGUUAGAGCGCACCCCUGAUAAGGGUGAGGUCCCUGGUUCGAGUCCAGGAUGGCCCACCUGUACAGGUGGCAAAAAGAAAGAAAAGAAGCGAGGAAUCAGCACCUUAUCUUACUUAUAUAGUAAGAGAGAAUGCUGGCUCUGAGUUCAGAGUCCAGAGGAACCUUGAAAACUGCAUAGAGCUAGGGGAAAAAGCCAAAAAAGAAGACCGCAAG
Molecule: transfer RNA, 363 nt
Filed under: uncultured Microcystis sp.
Lineage: Bacteria; Bacillati; Cyanobacteriota; Cyanophyceae; Chroococcales; Microcystaceae
Description: partial 16S-23S ribosomal RNA intergenic spacer
Rfam family: tRNA (bases 134-207)
Source: RNAcentral